AUGCCACCAGGGGGUGGAGAAACAAGCAAGCAUGCCCGCACGGGGAAGGAGCAGAGCCACCCGCCGGCGAUCCGCCGCCGCGACGAGUCCCGUCCCGCGCCGCCGUUCCCCGCCGUGGAUUCUCAGAAGCAGGGGAAGCAGAUGCAGCCGGCGGCGGCGGCGGCGAGCAUCUCCGAGGGCCCCCUUGUCGAGAUCCUGGCGCGGCUGCCCUACCGGUCGCUCUGCCGCUUUAAGUGCGUGUCCAAGCAGUGGCGUGAGCUCUGCUCCGACCCCAAAAUCGUCAAGAGGGCGUCACAGACCCUCUCCGGAUUCUUCCACAACCACCCGGUCGGCAGCCUCCGCUUCAGCAAUCUGUCCGGCGGACGCCCGCUGAUCGACGCCUUGCUCCCUUUCCUGCGCGGGAGAUACCAAAGAAUCAAGCUCGAGCAAUGCUCCACCAGCCUCCUCCUCUGCAAAUGCUGGAAACUGGAAUCGGGACAAGACAAAUUCGAUUUCGCCGUGUGCAAUCCGAUGACCGAGCAGUGGACCGUGCUGCCUCCUAUAGAAUGGCUAGACCAAGACGGUGAAGACACCGAGGGUUCCGAUUUGAUUUAUCCCUUCCUGGUUUUUGACCCGGCCGUUCCGUCUCGUUUCGUGGUGUUUGCGCCCCUCCUCGACUUGGUUGACAUUGUGGCAAUAUACUCAUGGGAAACUGGACAAUGGACUCCCAGCAGUGGGUGGGAAUACAGAGAGUAUCCUGCCGUUACCAAGGAAUGUGUCUUCCUGAAUGGCAUGAUCCAUUUCUUGCAUUUGUUUGGCGAUGAACCUUUCAUAACUGUACUAGACAUUGAGGGGGAGCUUUUCCCGCAAAUUGAUGGCCCGGAUGGAAUGCUAGGGGCCACACCUGGUUAUGGUUCGGUGGGGUGCUCUCAGGGACUCCUUCAUGUUUGGUAUAUGGAUCCCCAUGAUUACGAGCUCUCUGUGUGGGUGCUCAAAAAUUAUGUCAGCGGAGAGUGGAUCCUAAAGCACACUGUUGACGUUCCAAAACUCUUUGAAGAAAUGGACUCCAGUGAAGAAAAGGAUCGUGACCAAGAGGAUGGCUCCUGUAAGUAUGAGAUGUUUGCAAUUCAUCCGGAAUACAACGUGAUUUUCCUUACUGACCGGAAGAUGGCGAGUCUGUCGUACGAUAUGGACAGCGGGAAAGUGCAUCCCAUGUGCACUUCUGGAGAUUUCCUUGGUGGUCUACCCUUUAUUCCCUGCUUUGCGGAUGGCUCUCUGAUGAUCACUAAUGCCUUUGAAAAAAUCGCUCUUCUAGUCCUGUGGCACUGGUUUGGAUGUGACCAUUUUGUGGCGUUGAAUAAUGUUGUUGGUCACCGUUAG
RNAcentral lists this ribosomal RNA (1359 nucleotides) under Triticum aestivum (bread wheat). RNAcentral describes it as "partial small subunit ribosomal RNA". Lineage: Eukaryota; Viridiplantae; Streptophyta; Magnoliopsida; Poales; Poaceae. The record is from RNAcentral.